UUGUCUCAGCUGACCCCUCCCAGUUCUCCCAGUGCUCCCAGUACCAUGUUGGAGAUGCUGCGGGUGUUCUCGGGGUUGAGCAUGACGAUCUCCGUGGUGACGUGGCCUUCAACGGCCUCGGCCAUCUCGGCCUCGGUGCAGUUGAUGGCCGGGUCCUUGAUGCGGAACCAGUUGUCGGCGUACCAACCAAUCAGGAACCAGACGUACUUCUUGCCGUAGAGCUUCUCCUUGUAGACCUGGAAGGGUGGGGAGAUCCGAGAUCCAUCAUCGGAAUCUGUCCGUUGGUCAUCGUGGUUGGUCCAUCAGCGUUGAUCUGUCAUCAUCAUCAUCAUUCAUCCAUCAUCUCCAUCAUCAUCCUUCUCCAUCCAUCCAUGAUCCAUCAUCACUGAUCCAUCAUCAUCAUCAUUGUCAUCAUCCCCCUCCAUCCAUGAUCCAUCAAUUUCCAUGAUCGAUCCAUCAUCAUUGAUCCAUCAUCAUCAUCAUCAUCAUCCAUGAUCCAUCAAUUCCCACCAUUGAUCCAUCAUCAUUGAUCCAUCAUCAUCAUUCAUCUCCAUCCAUCUCCAUCCAUCAAUUCCCACCAUUGAUCCAUCAUCAUCACCAUCAUCAUCAUCAUCAUCAUCUCCAUCCACGUCCAUCCAUGAUCCAUCAAUUCCUACCAUUGAUCUUCAUCGUUGGUCCAUCAUCAUCAAUCCAUCUUCAUCAUCCAUCAUCAUCUCCAUCCAUCUUCAUCCAUGAUCCAUCAAUUCCCACCACUGAUCCAUCAUUGAUCCAUCAUCAUCAUCAUCAUCAUCAUCAUCAUCUUCAUCCAUCCAUGAUCCAUCAAUUCCCACCAUUGAUCCAUCAUCAUUGAUCCAUCAUCAUCAUUCAUCUCGAUCCAUCCAUGAUCUAUCAAUUCUCACCACUGAUCCAUCAUCAUCACCAUCAUCAUCAUCAUCACCAUCAUCAUCAUCAUCAUCAUCUUCCAUGUCCAUCCAUGAUCCAUCAAUUCCUACCAUUGAUCUUCAUCGUUGGUCCAUCAUCAUCAAUCCAUCUUCAUCAUCCAUCAUCAUCGCCAUCAUCUCCAUCUCCAUCCAUCAAUUCCCACCACUGAUCCAUCAUCGAUCCAUCACCAUCAUCAUCAUCCAUCUCCAUCCAUGUCCAUCCAUGAUCCAUCAAUUCCCACCAUUGAUCAAUCAUCAUCAUCAUCACCAUCAUCUCCAUCAUCAUCCAUCCAUGAUCCAUCAAUUCCCACCACUGAUCCAUCAUCAUCAUCAUCAUCAUCAUCACCAUCAUCUCCAUCAUCUCCAUCCAUCCAUGAUCCAUCAAUUCCCACCGUUCCCACCUCACAGAAGACCUUCCUCGCCUCGGUCUCGUAGAAGAGCCCCACGAUGAUCCGGGCGUCCUGGCGCUGCGGGAUUGGACGGCUCGUUAAGCCACGCCCACCUCAUUUGCAUAAUUACAUGUCCAUCUCCCACCGCUUUGGCUGUUCCUGGUUGACCACGAUGGAUUUUUGGGGGUCCACCACGGUUGGGGAGGGGUUUGAGGGUGGGGUUGGACCUCAGGGUGGUUCUGAAGGUGGGGAUGGACCUCAGGGUGGUCCCAUGGGUGGGGUUGGACCUCAUGGUGGUCCUGAAGGUGGGGUUGGACCUCAGGGUUGGUUCCAAAGGUGGGGUUGGACCUCAAGGUGAUUCUGAAGGUGGGGUUGGACCUCAGGGUGGUCCUGAAGGUGGGGUUGGACCUCAG
Parus major (Great Tit) is the source of this 1722-nucleotide long non-coding RNA. The record is from Ensembl. NCBI's taxonomy places the organism in Eukaryota, Metazoa, Chordata, Aves, Passeriformes, Paridae.